CAAAAAGGACAUUGCAAUUACGAGACAUUAAUAUUUAGAUAUUUAUUCAAAAAGGGUACAAUUCUAGUUUUUAGGGAAGAAAAAUAAAUCAUUAACUCAUGUUGAUACUUUAAAAAACUUUAUAAUGUUACUUGAAAAUUCAACUGAAGUCAUUUUGCCAUCCUAGAAUCACACUAGUCAUCGCUAAAUUGCAUUAUUUCUUAUUUCAUGUGAUUUAUGAUUCUACAGUGCCCAUUAUGGUCAUAUUUUCCAAACCAAUAAUUAUUUUCUUAGUAAAUGAAUGUUGUAAUUUAAUAUAUUUAGAUAGGUCACAGUGUUCUAUAAAACAUUGUACUCAGAGUACAAAAAUAAGUGCUUUAUGCACACUCUUUAAUACUGUUUUUUCUCUUGCUUUUGGUACUUCAGCUAACUAACUUCACAUAAAUAGUCAAUAAUAACAAAAAAGGAAAAGAAGCAGGAGAUUGUUUAACAUCUGGAAAGUAGAAAUGCAUUUUGCUGACAGCAUGCUUUUCAUUAAGACAGGAUAACAAUAUCUGGCUAUAUUACAGUCAGAAAAGUAGAAAAAAAGAGGGCUCAUGAAGGAAUAGGAAUAAAAAUACCAAUAAUUACAUUAAAUAUUUAAACCAGUGAUAUGAUGGAUCAAGAAUAGAUUUAUCUGCACCUUAUGAGUCCAAAGAUCUCUUAGGAAUUACAGUGGCAAGUGCCAAGUUUCAAAAUAAAACCUACAUUUGAAUAAAAUAUGUAUACUUCAUUGCAAAUGUAUACUUUGUUACAAAAAAUAUAGGUACAAAGUUUGUUAAAUAGAUUUCUGGAUUUUAUAAACACAAGUAUACUUGGAAAACAGGAAUAGUUAACAACUGCAAGUAAACAAAAUGCAUGGGUAAGUGCUCAUUAGCAUCAUAAAUCAGUAUGCAAAUUUGUCAAUUCCAAGUUUUGAAGCAUGUUUUAAAGCUCUGGACCUCUAAAAUUAUUUCUUCCUAUUUUUGCUGUCUUUUAUAUUUCUUCUGGAGAAAAUAUUUGACAACUCAUUUUACUUAAAAAACAAUGGUAAUAGAGCAAGGGUUAAAUUCAUCUUUGAAAAGGCUUACUGUACCAACCUAGUGUUUGGUAAUAAUAAUGGAAACUUAAAGUUUAGAACAGAGUUGAUUUAUUUUUGGGAUUUUAAGUGACAAAAUCUACCAGCUGAUGCACUUAAAUUAAGUGCAAUUAUAUUCCAUUUUUAAAAAUUCAGAAUGGAUCACUAAAGUUUGUACUCCAUAGGAGAAAGAAAGGAAAGAAGUAGGGAAGGAAGACAGAAAGGUAUAUAUGUAUAUAUAUAGAUAGAUAGAUAGAUAGAUAGAUAGAUAGAUAGAUAGAUAGAUAGAUAGAUAGAUAGAUAGAUAGAUAUAGAUAGAUAGAUAGAUAGAUAGAUAGAUAGAUAGAUAGAUAGAUGAUAGAGAGAUAGAUAUAAACAUCUAUUUAUAUAUUUGUAUUCAUAGUUCAUAGUUUCUGGCAUAAGAGUAGGUAUAUAGCAAGUACAGAAUCAUACAUUCUACUGAAGAACAGGUUUGUGUGUUAAUAGUAAUAGUACUAUAUAAUUUGUUUAAUUCUAAAUAUUAGUAAAGUGAAUAAAGGAAGUGUAAAAAUGAAAAUACCUGUUAAUAGUAUUUUUCAUUAAAAUAUAAUCAAAUAUUUAUAUGGAAUUAUGUGAAGACUUUUGGGUGAAGAACAGUUCAUGAACAACCGUAAUGAAGUUAAAUGCAAGUGAAUUAAUAUUUAAGCAAAUUCGUAAAACAGGAAUUAAGGGAAGAAGCCAAUGUGCUUUUUAAGGUUUGGGGAAAUCCUUUCUGGUUUGGGGUAUAAGUAACUUCGCUUAAGGAAGAAAGGAACCAGCAAAUCCUCUAAGACCCUACUAAUGCCGGAUGAAUCUUGCCAGGACAAGCACAUGUCUCUGAGGGCUUUCAUCUUGUCCCCUGCCAGACUGGCUAAGUGGCUGCUAGUUCUGUUAAUUAAAGGCAAAACUCACUCAGGACCCAGAGCCCAUGGGCAGUGUGAGGAAAACUAGGACCAGAAAGGGGCUGGGCAGAGGGUCAGCUAGAUGGGGAGUGGAUUGAGGGUAACCAUGCAGGAGAAGACGAUGCAUUCCUCUCUGUUUGAGUAGUUGGGCCCUUUAGUUUAAGCUGCGUGUGCUCUGGAGCAGAUAAAGCCAAUUCUACAGCAUUAAAAAAAAAAA
Manis javanica (Malayan pangolin) is the source of this 2212-nucleotide non-coding RNA. NCBI's taxonomy places the organism in Eukaryota, Metazoa, Chordata, Mammalia, Pholidota, Manidae. The record is from RefSeq and is a predicted model, not a curated record.